AGUUUAAAACAAGCAUAAAUCUUUCCAGCUGUUCUUGAAAAAAUACAUGAUACAACAUUUAUAUUUCAGUGGAUGUAUACUGUGAUGUUUUUAUAGCAAAUAAUAAUAAUAAUAAUAAUAAUAAUAAUAAUAAUAGUUGAAGUGUAGCUGUAAUUGUCUUCUCAGGUGUUUCUCCUCCAGUCUCUCUGAUCGUCAGUCCCAGCAGAACUCAACACUUCACAUACGUCUCUCUCUCUCUGAGCUGUGAGGACCAGAACAUACAGAGACGGUGGGCAUCUGGAAGAUUGUUCAUCAGUGUGGGGAUCACAAACAGGAUCUAUGUGUACAAUCAGAUCCACCAUCCCAGAGGACACUGGAGUGUACUGGUGUGAGUCUGAAUCUGGAGAGAACAGUCCUCCUGUUAAUAUCACUGUACACCGUGGAAGAUCUCAGUCUGCCUCUCGUGUGAGUCAACAGCAGAAGAGCAGUCAGACAUCAGAGCAGAACCAGAGUGAAGCAGGACAUAAAACACUCAUGUCUGGAACUGCUCAUAUUUAUGACUCUCUUGAUGCCACAAUUAAUAAAGACAUAAGCACAGGUAAUGUAGACAUUGUAAGUGGACCUUCUGAACUCACCUAUGCUGAGAUUGAGCUCAAAUCUACAGAGAAACAGAAGAAAAAGAAAGAAAACAAAGGUAAUAGCAGUGAAAGUUCAGACACUGUGUACUCUCAGCUGAAUCUGGAAACUCAUCGAGGUGAGUGUCAAAGUAAAAACAUCAAACACAGUUCAAAAGGAGCCACUAACAACUGCAUACAAGCAUCGUUGAUGAAAUAUGAAAAAAUUCUAAUGUAUAUUUAAUGCAUUUUUAAUUAAUUUACACAUUGGAAAAAACUGAUGAUCUUUUAGUACUGCACAGUGUUUAUUUUUAUUGGCUGAUACCAGCAGAGGCAGCAGCUCAUCGUUUGACUGUUGAUUGAGAGCAGGUUUCCUUUUUUGUGUGUCUUCUUGAUUUUAAAUGUAUUUACAGCAUAGUCAUGAACAACCUGGAAAUACCUGCCAAUUUUAAAAUGAUGACUUCCAGGUCUGGAAGAGUUGUCUUACAAAUAAAUGUAUAUGAUGAAUAUAAUUUUUUUUGAAG
Long non-coding RNA from Cyprinus carpio (common carp), 1117 nucleotides. Lineage: Eukaryota; Metazoa; Chordata; Actinopteri; Cypriniformes; Cyprinidae. The record is from Ensembl.